Molecule: unclassified non-coding RNA, 329 nt
Filed under: Athalia rosae (coleseed sawfly)
Lineage: Eukaryota; Metazoa; Arthropoda; Insecta; Hymenoptera; Athaliidae
Description: misc RNA ENSAEAG00005011489.1
Source: RNAcentral
AUAUUAUGUACACGCGCGCACGUAUGAGUACAUGGGAAAAAUUUUUCUGCGAAGUAAAAUUGUUCAAUAUUAAUGAAAAGUUCUGCAACUUUCUCGCGGUUUCAAGGACGAACGGUUCCGUUUCACAAAUUCGUUUCUUAUUUUCGAAUCGAUAUUUGAUUUUUUUUGGCUCAGAUUUUUCAUGGGAUUUUAAAACUCAUGGACGGAAAUGAGGCGAAGAAAAAAGCGUUCUUUCGAAGCGAUUAUAAAUUUCGGAAUUUAUUUGAUUGCAAGCUCCAAAGAUUUUGGAGAUUUGGAAUUUUUGACGUACGCGCAGCACGUGCGUACAG